RNAcentral lists this ribosomal RNA (504 nucleotides) under uncultured bacterium. RNAcentral describes it as "partial 16S ribosomal RNA". It matches the Rfam family "Bacterial small subunit ribosomal RNA", at positions 30 to 523 of the family's 1533-position model. The record is from RNAcentral.
AUUGAACGCUGGCGGCAGGCCUAACACAUGCAAGUCGAACGGUAGCACAGAGAGCUAGCUCUCGGGUGACGAGUGGCGGACGGGUGAGUAAUGUCUGGGAAACUGCCCGAUGGAGGGGGAUAACUACUGGAAACGGUAGCUAAUACCGCAUAACGUCGCAAGACCAAAGUGGGGGACCUUCGGGCCUCACACCAUCGGAUGUGCCCAGAUGGGAUUAGCUAGUAGGUGGGGUAAUGGCUCACCUAGGCGACGAUCCCUAGCUGGUCUGAGAGGAUGACCAGCCACACUGGAACUGAGACACGGUCCAGACUCCUACGGGAGGCAGCAGUGGGGAAUAUUGCUCAAUGGGCGCAAGCCUGAUGCAGCCAUGCCGCGUGUAUGAAGAAGGCCUUCGGGUUGUAAAGUACUUUCAGCGGGGAGGAAGGCGGUGAAGUUAAUAGCUUCACCGAUUGACGUUACCCGCAGAAGAAGCACCGGCUAACUCCGUGCCAGCAGCCGCCGUAA